UCAGUGGAAUGCGCUGCAAGCGUAUUUCAAGAGUCAUGAGGAAGUGGAAAAGCCUGGCAAGGUUAAGAUGCUGGCAGGGCAUUUAGCCAGCAAGAAGACCAAGUUCUUCUUCCUUUUCCUCUCCCAAGCGUUGAAACCACUGGCUGAUUUCAAUGUUGCAUUUCAGGCUGAAGGGGUGAUGAUACACAAGCUUCACAAGGAGAUGACCAACCUGGUAAGAAGGUGACUUGGAAGAUUUCUCCCCGCUCACCUUAUCGCUGAUGUCCCACUGAAGGACAUCAGUUUCAAGGACACAAGCCUCCAGUUGGAAAACGAUGACCUCUGUCUUGGAGAGGAAGCACAAAUGUUCUUGGAGGACAACAUUGAUGAGCUUUCCUCUUCAGUCCCAGAGCUUCUUAAGGCAGUGAGAGACUUCUUUGUAGCUGUUACCACCAAGAUGAUGUCAGCAUUUCCCCUGGACAACAUCAUGCUCCAGAACCUGACAGCGCUUGACCCAGCGUCAAGGCAUCAGUUUGCCCCAAAAUCAGUGAUAGAGCUAGGGAAAGGACUGCCACAGCUCAGCUUGGACAUGGCUAGCCUCAGGGAAGAAGUUGUAGAGUACCAGGUGGUUGACAGGGCAGAACUUCCUGAGGAAGCAAGAAUUGACAGGUUUUGGGCCAUCAUGGGAAAAGAUGCUAGGUUCAGGAAUCUGAGUAAAUUGAUGAAGGCAUUGCUGUGCAUUCCGCACAGCAAUUCCGCUUCAGAAAGGGUGUUCAGCAUGGUCAGAAAAAUAGUCACAGAAAACAGGAUGAGGAUGGACAACUCCACCCUCUGCUCACUCCUGUCCUGCAAACUAAAUUUUCCAGGACAGGCCCACACCUACGUUCCCUCAAGGAAGGUGUUACAGGCUGCAAAGCAUUGCACUUUCAACUACAAUAAGCUUUGACCUACAUGUAGCAGUUUACAUGAUGUAGUACUUUGUAGUUUUGUUUAGGGUUAGGGAAAUUAAAUCUAUUGAUAUGUAAUAAUAUGAAAUGUAAUAAUAUGCAAUAAUAACAUGAAAUUAAAUGUAAUGACAUGAAAUGUAAAUUAAAUGAAAGUAUUCAACAUAAAAUUGAGGUUUCAAUUUACUUAUUUUUUAGUUUGUUUUAUUAUUUUAAAGUCACCAGAAUGCGGGAAACAAUGUCUUUAAAGCUGGAAAUUUCCUGGGGGAGGACCCCCAGACCCCGCGCUUUAGUUCGAAAAUAGGGAGAAAUAGGGAAUUCUCCCUAUUUUCGAAGUCUCAAGGUUGGCAAGUAUGCGCCACCUACUUGACUACAACACAGGAGUUUGUGACAAGGACGUUGGCAAAUGAUACUUUAAAUCAUAAAAAUAAAUUUAAAGAAAAAACCAAACUAACGAAACAAAAUAAAACAAACUAACAAAAGAAAU
This 1410-nucleotide long non-coding RNA is filed under the name Gadus morhua (Atlantic cod). RNAcentral's name for it is "lncRNA (ENSGMOG00000036678.1)". The record is from RNAcentral. Lineage: Eukaryota; Metazoa; Chordata; Actinopteri; Gadiformes; Gadidae.